Molecule: non-coding RNA, 389 nt
Organism: Marmota flaviventris (yellow-bellied marmot)
Lineage: Eukaryota; Metazoa; Chordata; Mammalia; Rodentia; Sciuridae
Source: the annotation of a RefSeq genome assembly
CAGAAGACAUGGGACCGUCCCUCAUUCCUACAAUGAGAAUCAAGCUCUUUGUCUGUGUGGCCUGCUGUCUCCUGUGGGCAGGACACAUGGAGGCUGGAAUCACCCAGAGCCCAAGACAUGUCAUCACAGAGACAGGAGAAAAGGUGACUUUGAGAUGCCACCAGACCUACAACUAUGACUACAUGUAUUGGUAUCGACAAGACCAAGGGCAAGGGCUGCAGCUGAUCCAUUACUCAUAUACUGUUGGCAACACUGCCAAAGGAGACGUGUCUGACGGGUACAGUGUCUCCAGAUCAAACACAGAGGACUUCCCCCUCACUCUGGAGUCCACCACCCGCUCCCAGACAUCUGUGUACUUCUGUGCCACCAGUGACUACACAGUGCUCCAG